Long non-coding RNA from Nematolebias whitei (Rio pearlfish), 381 nucleotides. RefSeq lists it as uncharacterized. The transcript has 3 exons. The record is from RefSeq and is a predicted model, not a curated record. Lineage: Eukaryota; Metazoa; Chordata; Actinopteri; Cyprinodontiformes; Rivulidae.
UGCAGAACUGUUCUAUUUUGAGGAUGUGCUUUGAUGCAACCACUUCUGCCUCAGUCCACAGUAGCUGCUCAGACUCCUCCUCUGUGGGCAGUCAGAAGGAGGGGGGGUCCCCAGCGUCUGGGAGGGACCCCAGGUCAAGCUCCGGAUCAACAAGCUACUCACAGACUCACUCUCCCUCGACAGCUGUGUGACUUCCAUCUCAACUGUAACGUCAGACACCUUUGAUACACAUAUCAGUGAGGCGAACUGCACUUGGAGGACCAAGAAGACAAAAGAGACUUUAUCUGAACUUCUCCCACCAGCCUGCUCUCCUGCCCCCACUUCUCCCCCCUUUUUUCCUCAUACCCUUCCCAUACACAAUGCCAGUGGAUUAGGCACAGC